AUUGAACGCUGGCGGCAGGCCUAACACAUGCAAGUCGAACGAGUGGCGGACGGGUGAGUAAUGUCUGGGAAACUGCCUGAUGGAGGGGGAUAACUACUGGAAACGGUAGCUAAUACCGCAUACCAUCGGAUGUGCCCAGAUGGGAUUAGCUAGUAGGUGGGGUAAAGGCUAACAUAGGCGACGAUCCCUAGCUGGUCUGAGAGGAUGACCAGCCACACUGGAACGGAUACACGGUCCAGACUCCUAGGGGAGGCAUCAGUGGGGAAUAUUGCACAAUGGUCGCAAGCCUGAGGCAGCCAUGCCGCGUGUAUGAAGAAGGCCUGCGGGUUGUAAAGUACUUUCAGCGGGGAGGCGUUACCCGCAGAAGAAGCACCGGCUAACUCCGUGCCAGCCGCCGCGGUAAUUC
Molecule: ribosomal RNA, 406 nt
Filed under: uncultured bacterium
Lineage: Bacteria
Description: partial 16S ribosomal RNA
Rfam family: Bacterial small subunit ribosomal RNA
Source: RNAcentral